GCGCUGCGGGUGCCCGCGGAUUUUGUCAGAAAGUGGAAACUCUCCGCGAAGGCUUUCCUCGCCGCUGCGGCUCGCGCCUUGCUUCUUCCCCUAGGUUCACCUGCCUGCCCGAGUGACUGAGAGCCGAGCGGACCGGCCCCCGCCGCCCGGAACGCACUUCCAGUCCCAUGGAGCCCGAACUCCUGCUCGGCAUCUCUACUUUCCGCUCCGGCUGAGCUGCUCUGGAGCCCGAGACCGGGGAGGCGCGACUCUCGGCCCACAGCCGCACCGCCGCCGGGUGCUGUCCGCCCUCCGAGACCCGCGCCAGAGCCUUUGAAACUGGCAGAGGACGCUGCACCAGGAAAUCUGUGGACUUGGGAUGAGGCAAGCCCCUGGACUGCUCUGAGGACAGGGCUCUGGAUACUGGAGCACAUCGUAUGGGACUGGGGCUCCAAUGGCAAACAUGACUUCAUUGGCGAAUACACCUCAGCAUUCAAGGAGAUGAGAGGAGUGAUGGAAGGGAAACAGGAUCCACCAUGAGUUCAGCUUCAGGACAGCACUCAAUCAAGUCCAUGCAGACAGGAACCAGUUGUCUUUAGGAACUUCCAGAGGAGGCACCACCAUGGGAUUACAAGGUGAGGAAAAAGUGGGGAGAAGCCUGCGUGUAGCUUAUUGCUAAGGGGUUACAUUUCCAGAGGAUCCAACAAAGGAUCCGCUCGGUGUGGAAAACUGUGGAUUUUAGUGAGUUUAGUGUGUGGUGUUGAUGGUGUUCAGUUAUUCUUUGAUGUGUAGUGUCUGGUUUUCUUCUCACCAUUUACUGAGGGCGUCGGUCCUUUUCCCAUUUUGUGUCCUUGGCUCCUUUGUUGUGAAUUAACUGAUGACAUACAAAUGCGUUUAUUUCUGUGCUCUCUAUUCUGUUCCUCUGGCCCAUGUGUCUUUUUUUGUGCCAGUACCACAGUUUUAGUUCUUGUAGCUUCGUAACUUGUGAAGCCAGGGAGGGAGAUCCUUCCAGCUGUGUUCUUUUCUCAGGAUCAUUUGGGCUGUGGAGGGCUCUUUGUUACUUUGUUCUUUCUAUACAAAUGAUAGUUCUAUACAAGUGGUAGGGUUAGUUUUUCUAGAGGUGUUGGUCAGCAGCUCUCUAAAUACCAUUUUUCAUUGGACCUCUACUGCCAGCAUUUUUUAAAAAUGGGACAAGAUCCCCUAUGUCCAGUUUUUCACGGUGCUUUGGCAAAACAAGGGCCUCCCUAGGAAAUACAAGGUUAUUUCUAAUAUCUCUCCUGGUGACGGAACCUCAGCCUGAGGAUCCUCUUGACUUCCUCCCUCCCCCUUCUGACAAUUCACCCAAGACUUCUGAGUCAUCCACCCCCUGGUUCCUUCUGCUCCCUCCAGUUCACCACCACCCUCCUGCUGCCCCUGCCUCCUCCUCACCUCCACCACCUCCAUCUCUUGGCAUGCCUACCCCCCGGGACUAGUCCAAUGCAGACCCAUGGCGGCGUUCAGUACCAGGCUUCUGGAAUCAAUAGGCUAUUCCACCUCCGGGAAGCCCCCAUUGGAGAGGGCAGACUGACUGCUGUAUAUGUAUCCUUUUCAUCCUCAGAUCUCUGUACCUGGAAGGAUCCAUCCAAGGGUUUGAAAGAGGACCCCGAGGGCAUCCUUAAUUUAGUCCAGGGAAUAUUUCACACUCUUUCCCACUUAGGCAGAUGUCCAGACUCUCCUGAACAUCCUAAUCCUGGGGAAGAAAAGGCAGUGAUUAUAACUAAUGCAAGGGAGGAAGCUGGUAAGAGCGAUUCAAAUGAUAUGGGGCUAGCUGGGAAUCUAGGCCAUUCCCAACAUGGACCCUGGACGGGACCAUCGAGAGGAAAACAGUCGGCAGCACCUCACACAUUCAGUGAUUUGAUUCUUAAGGGGAUUCAGUGGGCUGGGAAGAAACCCAUAAAUUGGAGUCGGGUUCAGGGAGUGAUCUAGGGACCAAAAGAAAACUCCUUGGCCUUCCUGGAAUGCGUAAGGGAGUGCCUCCAUGUGUACACGAAUGUAAACCUGGAGUCAGUGGAAAGGCAGGCCAUUUCUUAAGUCCCAUUUACCUUCCCAGAGUGCCCCAGACAUUAGGAGAAAAUCAUAGAUGUUGGAGAUAAGGUCCACACACCUACUUCCUAGGAGUGGAGUCAGCAUUUCAGGUGUUCAGGAGCCAGAAUCUGGAGGGAGACGCCAAGACAGACACGUGGAAUGAACUGCCGGUAUUCUGGCUUCACUGAUUCAGGGUCAGUCAACUUCCCAGUGACGAUGGGGCUCCCCUGAAGGGACCCUGUGACAUCAGUGAGUUGCCCCAAGUUUCAAAGAUCACGCCCAUAAUGGAGAGAAGGGCUUAAAGCCAGUCAGUGUACACAGUGAAUUGAGGAGGACCACCAGAAGAGAGAAUGCCCCAGACAUCCCGGAAGGAAGCUAAGGGACUGCGGUGCCCUGGCCCAUCCUCGCUGAUCACACACACAAAAGGACUGGGGGGUCCCAAGGUUGUCCCAGGGGCUCCCUGAAGGAACCUCACCUGACCCUGACUGUGAAGGGUAAAAUAGUUCACUUUCUGGUCGACACAGGGGCAACUUACUCAGUCUUGAACACCUGACAAGCAGAAUAACCAAAGAUAAAUGUGGGAUAAUGGAAGGGAAGCCCCAGGAACCUAAUUUUAAGGAGUCUCUUGAGUGCCAUUUGGAAGGGAGGAUGUUAUCUCACUCUUUAAUGUACCAGAAUGCCCAGUUCCCCUGAUAGGAAAAGACUUACUGUACAAUUUGGGAGCUACAGUUUAUCUCAGAGACAAAAAAACUUACACUCCUAAAGAAACUGGCCACAAAACCAACCUUAGGGAGAUAUGGACCACCUAAAAUAUGCCCUACAGAGAGGGGGAAAUGAAGCUUUACACACUUGCGGGAAUCCAGAACUGCCUUUCCCUCCUGACAUGGUUUUAGAUCCUUUCUCCCCUAAGGAUUGGAUCUAUUCGAGAACCUGAAAAGCUGGAAAUCCACAAGACCAGUGGACAGGACCUUAUCAUAAUCUUGAUUACUCAUUCUGCUUUAAAAUUACAGGGCACAACUCUGAGUCCACGAUACCAGAGUGAGGCCAGCACCUACACCUGAGGAAGGAGUUACUGAGCCACCCACUCAGUACACCUGUGACCUGACACAGACCUUAGGGGACUUUUGAAAAGGACAAAUUUACCAAGAGAUGUGGGGGAUAGGCUUAGUCAUUGGCUUCGUCAUUGCUCUUGCCUUACUUGGCUUGUGCUGCUGUGUCAGACAUCUCUGUCCACGCUGGACCCAGGGGAGACUAACACUGAAAGUAGGGUGAGCAGCCAUUAUUGUCUGUUCCUUCUUACCUUCUCUGCUCUCUUACAGCCAUCCACAUGGACUAGGACCUGAAUGUAGUAAUAAAUUUCUCGAAGCUUAUACCCCUGUACAAAAUCUGUCCUGGUGCUGGUCUCUCACCCCCCACCCACAAAGUAAUACCUAUGGAUUAAAGGUAUUAUUACAUUUUACCGCCAAAACGACAACCUCACUGCCACCUUACAUCCUAGGCCUGCUAAAUUUAUCCCUUUUGAAGUUCACACCUCGUCCCUAACACAGCUUCUCUGUUUGGACCCCACCCUCACAAUAACAUCUGUAGCAAAUACAGAGCACUCAUUCUGUAUUGCUGCCACUGCCCCGAUCAGUGGCUCCUACCAAAGGGAGGAACUUGUAGUAACACCCUGGGGCUUCUCUGGACUCUGAUCAGUGCUUCUUCCCUUACCCCACAGCUUAAGGGACCCAGGAUUGACUCCUAUGGAAAUCUCAACCCCUCAGUGCCCUCUGCACCAACGCACACAGGGACAAGAUUAGAGGUGUGUACUUGUUGGAGAGGGAAGAUAGCAAUUUGUCUGGCAUUUAGUAUAUGGCCCUCCUGAGGCCUGGGAGAGAACCAUUAGUCCAGAAUCCUCCCCCCGUGAUCCCAGCUGUGUAGGUAGGCUUCUCUCCCCACACUGCAGGGCAACCCCUCUUGGGCUAGCCACUCAGAGAGGUGGUGGUUCAACUCCUCAGAAAUGCACCAGGCAUGGGCUUCCCCCAGGUAACCUAUUCCUUUGUGGCCUGAGAGUAAACCAGUUGCCCCAUCAGAACAACCCCCAAAUCUUUCUCUUCUCUGGGAUGGGCUCAAGCCUACACCCUUGCUUACAUAAUACCCAGUUUUUAUACAGUGCACACUAGGCUGGCUAAGUCCUAGGAACCUAGAUCUAACCAUUCAUAAUGUCACCCAGCUUUGAGAUAAAAGGGCAGUAGGACUUAAUUCUGGCAGGAGUACGGAUUGCUCUGGUACCGGUGGCCCCCUGGGGAGCUUUCACAUAUCAUGAAACCACUUUACAGAAUCUCUCACAGGCCUUUGAGGACUUGUCUAAAAACAUGGGGUAUGCCUUUCAAGGGCCCUGUAUUUCUGUGGACUCACUAUCAAAUGUUGUUCCAACAGUACGCUAGCCCUUGACUAUCUCUAGGCUAGGCAAGAGGGAGUCUGCAGUUAUCUGUAAAACCUGCUGCAUGUAUGUCACUACCUCCAUCUAACCAGAUUUAAACAUAAGAGAUACAUGAACAAGCUCUAAGGCUGCAUAGAUCUAACACACAAGGUCCAGAUCCAGGAUCCAUCUGGAUAUGGGCAGACAGCCUCCCCGCUUAACAUGGGUUCUUCCAUUUCUUAGCCUACUAACUGCCUUUAUUCUUCUGCUUGUCUUGGAGCCUUGCCUCCUUAAAUGCCUUGUCACCUUUUUUAGUAAAUGACUUGAAGCCAUCAGACUUCAGAUGAUACUAAGACAAGGCUAUGUGCAGCUGGGACUGCAGCCUGGAGACAAAUCAGACUUAUCUGAGGCUAGUCAGGAACAGUUCUUCUCUAAUCCAGGGAGAAACCACACCCGUGUUCCUCAGGAAGCAGCUUCAGAAGAUAGACCGUCAGUCAGAGGGUCUGGAGAUGAGGAAGGUAUACAAAGAGACCAACAAAAACCAGAUGAACCAGGUGGAAUCAGGGUGAUGAGGAAUCUGACCUCCAACAGGCCCUGAGUCUCAUUCUACAUGGAUUUUACUACAUUAGCUACUAAAUGACACACCUACCAACAGCCAUGACCAGAAGAUGCAGAAAAAGAGGAUAAGGGAGUGGUACCCCAUUUCCAGGAAAGCCCUGCCCCUUCCCUGGUGGACUAGCUUCAUUCCUCCUCCCUUUGUCUUUUCUCUUUAAAAUCAAAUUCCUCUCACCACCUGGGUGAUAAGUUGAUCUGUGAACUAAGUUGCUGCUUCUUCAUUCUUUGGCCACAGACUAAAACCUGGGCUGCACUGAUCUCAGCUUUAGUUUUGGUUUUUAGCUACAUGAACUAGCCUCUAUUCUAGACUUUCUUUUAAUUCUUGUCCUUAUACCAAUAACAAGCAUUAUUGGAAGUAACCUUCCCCAAAGAAUCUUUGCAGUAUAUUUAUUACCCUGAUUUGGUAAAUCAGAAAAGGAAAACAUCUCUUCCUAAGACUCAUGGAAGCAGCUUCAGCUCCCAAAGCUUAAGUUCUACUUACACUAUUCCCUGAAUAACUGCUUGUAGGACAUUCACUUUAAGUGCUGUGUAAACAUUAAAAAAUGACGUCGUAGAAACUGAUAUUACUACAUACUUUGUGCAUUAUAUGCCCUUCCACAUAUAAGUUAGUACAUACGCUUUAUCUUAUAUAAUAUAUGCUCAUAUAAUCACAUUCUCAAUCCCAUGUGUAUAAGCAUGUACAUCAGCCUAUUGAUAUUAUAGGACACGUUAAACAGUUCAAUCCAUAUUAGAUUCCAGUCCCUAUGGAAUAUUCAUGGGUAAUUGAAGUGAUACUAUAUAGGAUACCACAUGUUUAUUCAUUGUACAUGCCACAUUAUGUCCAAUCAUUUCCAGUACAACACGGUUAUCCUAACCAAUAACCAGAGCUUAGUCAAAAAGCCUUGAUAAACCAUCAGCCUACCCACAAAUGUGCCUCUCUCCACAUUUUGGAUCCAAGAACCAGGGGGGUUGCUUUUGGGGGUGGCCACACCCACAGCAUAUGUAAGUUCUUGGGCCAAGUAUCUAAUCUGAGUUGCAGCUGCAACCUACAAAACAGCCAUGGUAAUGCCUGAUCCUAACCCAUUGUGUCGGGCUAGGGAUCAAACCUACACCUCAGCAAUAAGCCAAGCUGCCGCAGAGACAGUGCUGGGUACUUAACCUGCCAUGCCACAGCAGGAACUCCCAUGGGGAUUUCUAUAAGCAAUAUCUGGCAUCUGGUUCUUUACAGCCAUCUCAGGUAAAGUUGCCCACUCUCUCCCCUUAAAUAAGACAUCUUAGUGGACUGUCAAAUCAGCUUAUGCUCACACACAUAUGGUUUCAUGCAUUUGGUAUUUUUUUUUUUAAUUUAGGGGGAUGCUGUGGUCAUCAGAGGCCUUAACACAGCCAAGCAACUUAUAGCUGAGCUUAAAUUGAAUAUUUUUUGCCAACAUAAUUAACUAUGUUAAUCAAGACAAUGAUCACAGAACAUAGAGCAUUUACAUACAUACACACACACAUGUAUACCAGGUAAAAGAGCGCCUUAACCAAAUCCUCCUACCUCCCACUAAAUCUUUAUACUUUGCAUGCCAUUAUUGCCCUGCCAAACUCCCCAGAUAAGGUAAAGCAUAUAACAACAUGAGUCAGCUACUCAUCUAAUAAACAUAUUGUCCCUACUUUACCAACCCAAAGUUAAUGUAACUACAAACUAGCCUCCUAAUAAUACCCAUCAAUGACUUAGAUAUCUGAGUCUUACAGAGAAAGACAUCCCCCUUGAUCUCUGCCAUUUACAUCAAAUAAAUACAUUUCAUAAUCUCCAAAGAAAAAAUAUUUAACAUUUCAGUACUAAUUUUAACACAAUCCAAACUACUAUAAUGAAUACCAAUAUAUCACAUAAAACUUAUGCAUACACAGUCCAACUCAACCUGUUGAUGUAGCUUCACAAAGUGAAGCACUGUAAAUGCCUUGAUGAAUUUACUAACUCCAUAAACACAUAGGUAUGGCCCCAGACUACUAAAGUCUAAUAAAAUUACACAUGCAGUCUAUCCAGAGAAAACCAUGACUUGAGAAGACACAGGUACUCCAGUGUUCAUUGCAGCACUAUUCACAAUAGCCAAGACAUGGAAAAAAACCUAAAUGUCUCUCAACAGAGGAGUGGAUAAAGGAGAUGUGAUACACAAUGGAAUAUUACUCAGCCAUUAAAAGGAAAGAAAGAAUAGCAUUUUUAGCAACAUGGAUAGACCCAGAAAUUACAAUGUUAAGUGAAGUUGGUCAGACAAUGAGACACCAACAUCAAAUGCUAUCACUGACAUGUGGAAUCCAAAAAAAGGAUACAGUGAACUUGUUUGCAGAACAGAUACUGACUCACAGACUUUGAAAAACUUAUGGUUUCCAAAGGAUACAGGUUGGGGCCUGGGGGUUUGGGAUGGAAAUGCUAUAAAAUUAGGUUAUGAUGAUGAUUGUACAACUAUAAAUACAUUUUUUAAAAAACCACCAAACUUAAAUAUGCUAAUGAUAUUAAAGGUCUGUAUAUUUCUAUUCUUUGAAAAAAAAAUUACACAUGCAAGUAUCUGAUCAUUGAGAAUGGCCCUGUAAAAUCAUAAAAAAAAUUAAAAGAAGCAGGCAUCAAGCACCCUAAAAAGUAGUUACAAUGCUUUGCUUAACUUUGCCCGCAUGGGAAAUGGUAAUGAUAAAAAGCCAUAAAAGAAAGUUUGAGCAAGUUGCAUUAAUUACGGUUGGUAAAUUUUUUAUCCACCUUGUCAUAAGAUUAACCCAUAUCAAUAGAAAUCCAGCAUGGCAUGUUAAAGAUUACCUCCAAAUAUUAAGUCUUGGCUAAGCUGCACAAAGCUAUAGCUAAAAUAAAAAUAAGCUGUGAAAGUGACUAAUACGGAGUUCCCAUUGUGGCUCAGCAGAAACGAAUCUGACUAGCAUCCAUGAGGACUCAGGUUCGAUCCCUGGCCUUGCUCAGUGGGUUAACGAUCCGGCGUUGCCGUGAGCUGUUGUGUAGGUUGCAGACGCGGCUCGGAUCCCGCGUUGCUGUGGCUCUGGCGUAGGCUGGCGGCUACAGCUCCGAUUCGACCCCCAGCCUGGGAACCUCCAUAUGCCACAGGGACAGCCCUAAAAAUAAAAAAAAAAAAAAA
RNAcentral lists this long non-coding RNA (8154 nucleotides) under Sus scrofa (pig). RNAcentral describes it as "lncRNA (ENSSSCG00015022565.1)". Lineage: Eukaryota; Metazoa; Chordata; Mammalia; Artiodactyla; Suidae. The record is from RNAcentral.